Molecule: ribosomal RNA, 253 nt
Filed under: uncultured bacterium
Lineage: Bacteria
Description: partial 16S ribosomal RNA
Rfam family: Bacterial small subunit ribosomal RNA
Source: RNAcentral
UACGUAGGGACCAAGCGUUGUCCGGAAUCACUGGGCGUAAAGAGCUUGUAGGCGGUUUGUCGCGUCUGCUGUGAAAAUCCGGGGCUCAACCCCGGACUUGCAGUGGGUACGGGCAGACUAGAGUGUGGUAGGGGAGACUGGAAUUCCUGGUGUAGCGGUGAAAUGCGCAGAUAUCAGGAGGAACACCGAUGGCGAAGGCAGGUCUCUGGGCCACUACUGACGCUGAGAAGCGAAAGCAUGGGGAGCGAACAGG